CAACAGGGAUUGCCUUAGUAACGGCGAGUGAAGCGGCAAAAGCUCAAAUUUGAAAUCUGGCACCUUCGGUGUCCGAGUUGUAAUUUGAAGAAGGUAACUUUGGAGUUGGCUCUUGUCUAUGUUCCUUGGAACAGGACGUCACAGAGGGUGAGAAUCCCGUGCGAUGAGAUGCCCAAUUCUAUGUAAAGUGCUUUCGAAGAGUCGAGUUGUUUGGGAAUGCAGCUCUAAGUGGGUGGUAAAUUCCAUCUAAAGCUAAAUAUUGGCGAGAGACCGAUAGCGAACAAGUACAGUGAUGGAAAGAUGAAAAGAACUUUGAAAAGAGAGUGAAAAAGUACGUGAAAUUGUUGAAAGGGAAGGGCUUGAGAUCAGACUUGGUAUUUUGCGAUCCUUUCCUUCUUGGUUGGGUUCCUCGCAGCUUACUGGGCCAGCAUCGGUUUGGAUGGUAGGAUAAUGACUAAGGAAUGUGGCUCUACUUCGGUGGAGUGUUAUAGCCUUGGUUGAUACUGCCUGUCUAGACCGAGGACUGCGU
RNAcentral lists this ribosomal RNA (529 nucleotides) under Debaryomyces hansenii. Its description in RNAcentral is "LSU rRNA". It matches the Rfam family "Eukaryotic large subunit ribosomal RNA", at positions 66 to 600 of the family's 3401-position model. Lineage: Eukaryota; Fungi; Ascomycota; Pichiomycetes; Serinales; Debaryomycetaceae. The record is from RNAcentral.